UCAUGCUUGUAGAACACAAGGAAACGAUUUUUUUUUAACUUAUACAAGUGUGAGCAAACGUACUAAGUGGCACUGCUGUGGGAUACAAGCAACAGGUGAGCAGUUAACUCUGAGGAAGGGCACAUCUCACAUUGGUUAGGGCUGGAUUACUGGUAGUGUUGCAUAAAGCUAUGCAUUUGAAGCUUUUUAUGGUCAUCGAAUAUGCCUAUUAUUUCUCAACACAAUUUUGAUCCUUGGGCUCCAGCCUUGCAUUCCUCUGAUCUCAGAGUGUCUGCAAAAAGAUUAUUGGGUCCAUUACUACCAACUGAGAGAGAUUUGGGAAGAGAAUAUAUUUUCAGUACUAUCUGUAUAGGCCAUACUUAUUUUUACCUCUCUAUACAUUUAUAUUUAUCAAAUCUCCUUAUCAUAAUCAUGCUAUUACAAAAUUAGUUCAAAGGGGGCAGGCAAUUUUUGAGCCCAAUUUUAUUUCCUUUCAUUAUUUCUUAAUCACCUUUUUAAAAAACUGGCCAGUUGAGAUGAGAAAAUUGACUUCUGGCAUUUCUUAAUUCUAUCCUCUGAUUUUAUUUAAGUGAAACCUUCACCCGCCUUUUUUUUUCCUGACCAGAAAGAAAAAUGUGUCAAGUAUGAAUGUAUUCAUAGAACUGUUUAUAUUUUGAAUUACUUUAAGAUCUUUCCUCUGGGUUGUACUGUUAACAAAAUAGAAGUUAUCCAACACCAUUAGUUCCGACCAUCCCCUUGUGAAGCAGGAAAAGAAGUAACAGAGAGCCAUCCAUCUCCAGCUGAGGUGUGGAAGUGGUGCCUUAGCAUGAUCUACUGAAGGGCAAAGAGCUCCUCCAAGCAGAAGGUGAUGUACACAAGAGUACUCUUGGUGUAGGUGACAAGUGAAAGAAGACAUGGAGAGAUCACAAAAGGAGUAGACAAUUUCACUGCAGCCAGAUUCCCAGUGGAGCAAGGACUGUGGAAGACACAGUUCAAUGCCUUAGAAGAAUCAGGGUAGUGUUCUUAACACUGUGCUCUGGAUACAGGCUUGUGACUAAUUCCAGGUAAUAUGGUCAUGUGGUCACAUCCUUCCAUAUGGGUCUUAUGGCAAGUGAUAAAGAGGUUCAAGGCGUAGACUGGAGCUAGACUCGAUUUGAGGUCUGCCUCACAGUCCAACCAGUGAUACGUGGCCUUAAUUUCAUUGGGUCUCAAUUUCUUCAUCUUUACCUGCAAGACAGGAAUCUUGAGAUGUUCGUUUUAAUUUUAGAACUCAUGGGCAUGUCUAAGUAUAUACUGUUAUUAUUCCAUCACUCAUAGGAAUAUCCAAAACGUGAGAGAAGCCCCUUUUCCACAGUUCUGUUUUAAUGACUUACAAAAGAGCUCAUUCACUCAUUCCACAAGUGUCUAUUGAACACAUAAAAGUUUCAGGCACUGUGUUAGGCAGUAGUAAUUGUCAACCUAAAAGGCAAGUUGAAGCACACUGAGUACAAGAACAAAGUUUAUUUUAACUAAAGUCAGGAUGGAUGCCUACUGGACAAAAAGCUCAAGUUUUAGUUGCCCAGAAUAAGCUAAAGUUUAAAGGUUAGAACUAACCACAUCAUGAGACUUUGGGAUCCAGGAGGGCAUGACUGCUGACCCAUAACCCAUGUUCACCAGUCCUGAUAGGAGUUUGCUGACCCCUUUCUUUUAUUUAUGUAUUCAUAGUAUAGCAGUGCAAGACAAGAGCACAAGCCUGACCCUUGCAGAGUUCAAAGACAUCAAGUGGGUAGGCUGCCUGGGUGACCUCAGCUGGCCAACCCACUCCCUGCUCUUUCUGCAAACUGUAUUAUACAUUAUCCUGUGUCAUCUUCUCAGCACCCCAGGCUCCAGUGCCAAAAAUAGCCUAUUUUUAAAAUUAUUUUUUAUCUUCCCAGAUCUCAUUUCAGAUCCAAGUUGAUGGACAAGGAUGACCUCAGCUUUUCAUUCCUAGGUCAACACCAAGAAGUGGGCUUUCUCUAACUGGUAAUAUCAGUAUGUUGAAAUAGCAAACAUGAAAACUCUCAUGCCGUAGACUAAGAUAUGAAGACUAAAGAACUGCUCAGUGCUUUGACUGCAUCCCUUGCGUGGCUUGUACUAUUCCUCUAAUGAGCAUAGAGCUGUGUUGUUCUAUGCCUGGUGAUGGCUGGCGUGUCCACAUCUUCACUGAUAAGGGAAAUGCUGUCAUGCACACCAGUGAUGCAGAGCCCUGGGCUGUUGGAAUAGGUGCCCAAGGUCCCAAGGACAGCCAUAACUUGUUUCUCUUCUUUAUCACUCACUUGUUUCUUUUUACCAGGAGAAACAUUCCAGGGCCAAUCUAUUCCACCAAGGGACUUCAGCACAGACCGUCAUGGACCCCUCUGUAGUUUAUGUUCUGUUAGAAUGUGCUCAUUCCUCUCUCAGGAACCCCACUCCCCAAGGCAGCCUCACCUGAGCUGCUUCUCACCUCUUUUCCUUCCCAGACAAAACCACUCUAAGAUUUCAUCUCACUUCAGUCAGAAUGGCAGCUAUUAUAAGUGUUGGAGAGGAUGUGGGGAGAAAGGUACACUCAUAUAUUGCUGGUGGGACUGAAAAUUGGUGCAGGCAAUAUGGAAAGCAGUAUGGAGAUUUCUUGGAAAAUUGGGAAUGGAACCACCAUUUGACCCAGCUAUCCCUCUCCUCUGUCUAUACCCAAAGGACUUAAAAACAGCACACUACAGGGACACAGCUACAUCAAUGUUUGUAGCAGCACAAUUUACAAUAGCUAAACUGUGGAACCAACCUAGAUGUCCUUCAAUAGAUGAAUGGAUAAAAAAAUGUGGCAUAUAUACACAAUGGAAUAUUACUCAACAAUAAAAGAGAAUGAAAUCAUGGCAUUUGCAGGUAAAUGGAUGGAGUUACAGAAGAUGAUGCUAAGUGAAGUUAGCCAAUCCCAAAAAACCAAAUGCCGAAUGUUUUCUUCCAUAUAGGGAGGCUGAUUCAUAGUGGGAUAGGGAGCGGGAGCAUGGGAAGAAUAGAUGAACUCUAGAUAGGGCAG
This 3010-nucleotide long non-coding RNA is filed under the name Marmota monax (woodchuck). The record is from RNAcentral. Lineage: Eukaryota; Metazoa; Chordata; Mammalia; Rodentia; Sciuridae.